This 583-nucleotide ribosomal RNA is filed under the name uncultured bacterium. RNAcentral's name for it is "partial 16S ribosomal RNA". It matches the Rfam family "Bacterial small subunit ribosomal RNA", at positions 355 to 1375 of the family's 1533-position model. The record is from RNAcentral.
UGGGGAAUUUUGGACAAUGGGCGAAAGCCUGAUCCAGCAAUGCCGCGUGUGUGAAGAAGGCCUUCGGGUUGUAAAGCACUUUUGUCCGGAAAGAAAUCCUUGGCUCUAAUACAGUCGGGGGAUGACGGUACCGGAAGAAUAAGCACCGGCUAACUACGUGCCAGCAGCCGCGGUAAUACGUAGGGUGCAAGCGUUAAUCGGAAUUACUGGGCGUAAAGCGUGCGCAGGCGGUUUGCUAAGACCGAUGUGAAAUCCCCGGGCUCAACCUGGGAACUGCAUUGGUGACUGGCAGGCUAGAGUAUGGCAGAGGGGGUAGAAUUCCACGUGUAGCAGUGAAAUGCGUAGAGAUGUGGAGGAAUACCGAUGGCGAAGGCAGCCCCUGGGCCAAUACUGACGCUCAUGCACGAAAGCGUGGGGAGCAAACAGGAUUAGAUACCCUGGUAGUCCACGCCCUAAACGAUGUCAACUAGUUGUUGGGGAUUCAUUUCCUUAGUAACGUAGCUAACGCGUGAAGUUGACCGCCUGGGGAGUACGGUCGCAAGAUUAAAACUCAAAUGAAUUGACGGGGUCAUAGCUGUUUCCU